RNAcentral lists this ribosomal RNA (352 nucleotides) under uncultured eukaryote. Its description in RNAcentral is "bacterial SSU rRNA". It matches the Rfam family "Eukaryotic small subunit ribosomal RNA", at positions 592 to 947 of the family's 1831-position model. The record is from RNAcentral.
CAAUAGCGUAUAUUAAAGUUGUUGCAGUUAAAAAGCUCGUAGUUGGAUUUCUGUUCUCGGGGAUUGGUCCGCCUCACGGUGAGCACUGGUAUCCUGGGGACAUCCUCUCGAAGGCGGGUGGUGCACUUAAUUGUGUGCUGCUUGGAUUCGGGACCUUUACUUUGAAAAAAUUAGAGUGUUCAAAGCAGGCGUCGGCUUGAAUACAUUAGCAUGGAAUAAUAAGAUAGGACCUUGGUUCUAUUUUGUUGGUUUCUAGAGCUGAGGUAAUGAUUAAUAGGGAUAGUUGGGGGCAUUCGUAUUUAACUGUCAGAGGUAGAAUUCUUGGUAUUUAGUUAAAGACGGACUACUGACG